This 690-nucleotide long non-coding RNA is filed under the name Hordeum vulgare. RNAcentral's name for it is "long non-coding RNA (HVUL_LNC017971)". The record is from RNAcentral. Lineage: Eukaryota; Viridiplantae; Streptophyta; Magnoliopsida; Poales; Poaceae.
UGCACGUGGCAGUCAAAGAUGCAAUACAGUACUAUUUUAAAAGACUAAGCCAGCAUGUUUAUUUUGAUUCGUCAUAUGAAUGCUUAUAUUCAAAAGAUGAUAUUUUUAAUUAACACGCAGGCGACUGCCAAAGAUACACCAAAGACCACGUCAAUGUGCAGAACGACUUGUGUUUACAAACGAGGUGAGUAGUGGGGAAUGGAUCCCGUUUAUCCUGAUUAUCUAUUCUCGACGGGGAGAAAAAUGGAUCCAUAAAAUCCCCACGGGACCAAACCUGCGGACCAGUUCAGGAAGACAACGCGAGAUCCGGGAAGCUUCCUGGCUAGAUUCAACCGGAUCCACCAGGUCAAGCCGUCCAGAUCCAUCAACACCAAAACGGAGGCGACCUAAUAAUCCGUCAAAGCCCGUGUGUCGCCGCCGCCGGUUUCGGUCGUCGGACCUGCCUGCGCCCGCGCCGCCGUCCCACGACAGCAGCCGCCCGCUCUGACGCGCCUCCGCUCCCCGACGCACGCACUCACCGGCUAGACCAGACCACGCCAUGCGGGCGCAAGCACGAGAGAGAGCCACCGUACGCUACGCGCUGCUUGCGUCAGCGACCGGGGUCGCCGCCUGGUGCGGCUCCUUCCUCUCGCGCGUUGCCUUUGGGCUCAGACGGUGCGGCCCGUUCGCUCCAAAAAAAAAAAAGAAAAA